UACAUACUAGCUCAAUUAGUUAGAGCGAUCGUCUCUAAAACGAUAAGUUGCAGGUGCAAUUCCUGCGUUUGUAACC
RNAcentral lists this transfer RNA (76 nucleotides) under Calothrix brevissima NIES-22. RNAcentral's name for it is "tRNA-Pyl". It matches the Rfam family "tRNA". From Rfam's summary of the family: Transfer RNA (tRNA) molecules are approximately 80 nucleotides in length. Their secondary structure includes four short double-helical elements and three loops (D, anti-codon, and T loops). The record is from RNAcentral. Lineage: Bacteria; Bacillati; Cyanobacteriota; Cyanophyceae; Nostocales; Calotrichaceae.